GAGUGAGUGAGAGAAUGUGUGUGUGAGAGAGAGUGGGUGACGGAGGUAUAUACUCACCCUGGGAUCUCCAUUGUUGGGCCGAGCUCCGUGGUUAAAGGCAUGUACCGGGUCCUUGUGGUACACCUUGAGACAGGCCUGGUCCGUGAUACUCCUGGGGGAGGACAAA
Colossoma macropomum (tambaqui) is the source of this 166-nucleotide long non-coding RNA. RefSeq lists it as uncharacterized. The transcript is spliced from 2 exons. The record is from RefSeq and is a predicted model, not a curated record. Lineage: Eukaryota; Metazoa; Chordata; Actinopteri; Characiformes; Serrasalmidae.